RNAcentral lists this ribosomal RNA (494 nucleotides) under uncultured bacterium. RNAcentral describes it as "partial 16S ribosomal RNA". It matches the Rfam family "Bacterial small subunit ribosomal RNA", at positions 28 to 507 of the family's 1533-position model. The record is from RNAcentral.
GACGAACGCUGGCGGCGUGCUUAACACAUGCAAGUCGAACGGAAAGGCCUGCUUUCCCUUGUGGAUUGCGGGUACUCGCGUGGCGAACGGGUGAGUAACACGUGCGUGAUCUGCCCCCAACUUGGGUAUAAGCCUGGGAAACUGGGUCUAAUUCCCGAUAGGACUGCAGGGUGGUGCCUGUGGUUGCAAACGAUUUUCUAGUGGUUGGGGAUGAGCUCGCGGCCUAUCAGCUUGUUGGUGGGGUAAUGGCCUACCAAGACGGGGACGGGUAGCCGGCCUGGGAGGGUGGACGGUGACGGUGGAACUGGGGUACGGCCCAGACUACUACGGGCAGCAGCAGUAGGGAAUAUGGCACGAUGAGCGGAAACCUGAUGCAGCGACGCCGCGGGAGGGAUGACGGCCUUAGGGUUGUAAACUCCUUUCGGCCGCGAGGGAGCGACCUGGUUGGAAGGGUAGUGACGGUAGUGGUAGAAGAAGCACCGGCUAACUACGUG